RNAcentral lists this ribosomal RNA (301 nucleotides) under uncultured bacterium. RNAcentral's name for it is "partial 16S ribosomal RNA". It matches the Rfam family "Bacterial small subunit ribosomal RNA", at positions 509 to 807 of the family's 1533-position model. The record is from RNAcentral.
CAGCCGCCGCGGGAAUACGGAGGGAGCUAGCGUUGUUCGGAAUUACUGGGCGUAAAGCGCACGUAGGCGGUUAUUCAAGUCAGAGGUGAAAGCCCGGGGCUCAACCCCGGAUCUGCCUUUGAAACUAGAUGACUAGAAUCUUGGAGAGGUCAGUGGAAUUCCGAGUGUAGAGGUGAAAUUCGUAGAUAUUCGGAAGAACACCAGUGGCGAAGGCGACUGACUGGACAAGUAUUGACGCUGAGGUGCGAAAGCGUGGGGAGCAAACAGGAUUAGAUACCCCCGUAGUCCCUGUCUCUUAUAC